AGAAUCAACGCUGGCGGCGUGCCUAACACAUGCAAGUCGAACGGGAAAGUGGAGCAAUCCAUGAGUAUAGUGGCGACCGGGUGAGUAACACGUGACUACCUACCCUUGAGUGGGGGAUAACCUCGGGAAACCGAGGCUAAUACCGCAUAAUAUCGAAAGAUCAAAGGAGUAAUCCGCUUUUGGAGGGGGUCGCGGCUGAUUAGCUAGUUGGUAAGGUAAUGGCUUACCAAGGCGAAGAUCGGUA
This 244-nucleotide ribosomal RNA is filed under the name uncultured bacterium. RNAcentral describes it as "partial small subunit ribosomal RNA". It matches the Rfam family "Bacterial small subunit ribosomal RNA", at positions 26 to 285 of the family's 1533-position model. The record is from RNAcentral.